Long non-coding RNA from Tigriopus californicus, 1875 nucleotides. RefSeq lists it as uncharacterized. The record is from RefSeq and is a predicted model, not a curated record. The transcript has 2 exons. Lineage: Eukaryota; Metazoa; Arthropoda; Copepoda; Harpacticoida; Harpacticidae.
UGAUGUAGAGAGCUUUCCACUUCGAGCCACACGAGAUAUCGAGAGUGCAAGGAGCACUUCAAGUCAAUGCAAGUAAACGUACAUACCCCUAAAUACGUCGUUGAAUGCAAGACCGCGAUGUUAUCUUUAGGUCGUGUUGGUAAUCGUAUUCCUGGCAUUGCAAUGCAUUCCUUCUUGCCCUCCUGAAGCUCUUUGGAGCCAACGAUCUCGAAAGCUUUAAGCAUACUACGAAGUAGAUCUAGUGUCGUCCGUCCGGCUUACCUGGAUUGAUUUCUUCUGAUUCACCUCAGUUCACCUGGAUUGUGCCCAAGAUCGGGUGUUAUGGCGAAUGCUUGACUGGUGAGGAGGGAUUUGUUCCUCUUGAGUGGCAAAGACUCCUGGAAACCAUAAAAAUCAUGUCAUGCCAAGCGGCCAAUUCUCCCAACCCGUAAUUUGAUCAAUAAUUUCACGGCCGGCCAUCCCCAAAGUGCGAUCUUCCAUCCACGAACAACAAAGGCAAGCUCGCCUUCCAAGUGAGAAGAAACAAGAGGGAAGAAGAAGAAAAAAAAACUAUUCAUAUUCGAGGGACUGGGCUCUAAAAAAUUGAUAAUUGAGCUAAAUUAUGGGCCUUUGUGCUCUUCCUCGACCAGCUUCACUUCCAACUUCACUUUAAAAAAUCUGCUCAAUAACCGGUGGAUAAAUGAACUCGAGCGAGAAACUCGUCGUCGAAACGAUCAACCCCGAAACGAAACGUCAUCCUGAAAAUGACUAGUCUGUACUGACAUGUUCUAUUACAUUGGGUCUGGUUUCAAGUGCAUCCAUGACAAUUCCCAAUCCUCAUUCCUUGUCCCGCUUCUUGCCUGAAUAUCCCUGGCAUGUGAUGUGUGAUCAGUGCGUGUGUGUGUGUGUGAGUCAUGGAGGAUUAUACGAUUUCCUUCAAGGACUUCAUGCACGGUUUUUGUCUCUGGACGGCCGGUUCUCUUCUAAUGUGCCUAAUUGUCUACAUGUUUUAUGAGCUAUUCUACUCGAGCUCUUGGGUAUCUCGUCGGGCAUCUGGGAUCCCCAGGAUAAUUCCAAUGAGAAGGCAAAUUGCCCAAGAAAACAAUUAUGACGGUAAUGAGGAAGAGGUGGAUCAGCAGCCAUUUGAUGACUUGAUUCACGUCAUCACGGAUUUGAGGCAGAGACACCAAGGUUGACGACGCUGGGCGACCCGAGAAAUCGGGAGGAUUCAUCGCAGAUAUCGAAUCUGCUCGAGGUGACCAUGAGCACGAAGUCUUCGGCAGAGACCCCGACUCGAUUUUGUCAUCCGACGCGAUCAUCAAGAAAGUGAUUGUCAAACCUUGGAGUCCAGAUUAGGACACGCUUGAAGCUUCAAAACUCAAGAAAAAUGUUUGCCGGGGACACUCUGACAACUCGAAAACAGCAUUCAAACUCCCAAAUGGACAAGGAAAAAAACCUUCCGCGAAGCGAAUAAGUUCGUUCAAGCAUGAAAAGAACCCGGGGAUUUUGUGCCUAUUUGAAAAGGUGACUUGGCGAGAUGGGUGUCAAAACAGGGAUUCACAUUUGUCUUCCUCAGAAAAUCGCUCUUUUCAAAACGGUUUUUAUAUCUUUUCCUCCAAUCCUGAGUCAAUGACGGUGCCCGACGACCACAUGCAAAGCCCAUUCUUGAGACCCCCGAAACUCUCGGUAUUCGAUUCAUUGAAGACGAAUGCUAAAUCCCGGAUCUUUUUGGACACCACCAUCAAUCCUGUGUUUAAACACCGCUAAAAAAACAUCCCAACAUAUUCAACACAUGGAACAAUGGCCGAACUUUUAGGCCAACCCAUCCUACUAUCACUACCAUGAAAUCAACUUUCGAAACCCGGACGAGAUCAGAAACCUAUUUUGAACGAUUGA